This is a non-coding RNA of Rattus norvegicus (Norway rat), 1619 nucleotides long. The record is from RefSeq and is a predicted model, not a curated record. Lineage: Eukaryota; Metazoa; Chordata; Mammalia; Rodentia; Muridae.
AUUUACAUACAUCCUAUUGGUCUGUUUCUCUAAAGGAGCCUGACGAAUGUGUUUUGGUUGCAAAAUUUAGGAGAUGGAGGCAGAAAGAUCUGGAGUUCAAGACCAGCUUUGGCCCAUGUGCAAGUUAGAGGGUAGCCUGGGCUACAUAAGACCCUGCCUUACCAACCAACUAAGAAAAAAAAAGAUAAGAUUAUGAAAUACAUGUGUAUACACACACUUAGACACAUACAGACACACUAGAGUCCACACUCCAAUUCCAUCCCAGCCUCAGACGGGCCCCAACCCUGCUCACCAGACUGGAAAUCUCUUGGACACUGAGCUGAGAACCCCAGUCUGUAAUGUGUUGGCAAGACUACUCCAGGUACCUCCACUGGGGGCAAAAGCCAUCUGGUCUACAUUGCCAGCCUGCCUGCUGAGUUCAUUUGGCCUUGGCCUUAGCUUUGGCUUGGUCCCGAUCCCAGGGAAUAUCAUUUGAGGUCAGCUUCUGUCUAUACUGUGUCCCUGAUCAUAUUUCGUUUUCUCUUGACAUUUAGACUUCCAUGAGUCUUGAUCACUGGCGGCCUUGGACUCUAUCUUCUUCCUGUUUUCGUCAUGAGUAUGACUGUCCUCAUAUGUCUCUGCUCUUGGCCUUGGCCUUCAGCUUGACUAAAUCUAAAUGCCUGUCUUCCUAUGUUUCCUGGAGCCAGCAGAAUGUGCAGCUCCCUGUGGAUGGCUUUCCUGUCAUCAGAUUGCAUCCUCAGUUGCUCACAUGGAUUAAACCUUCAAGACUGACCGCCUGCGAGCAACCUGGAAAUAAAAUGGCCUCUUCCAGCAAGCCUGAUGCUUCCCAUCCUGCGCUGACCCUGCAAUGUUUCCAACAUUUAUAACACCCUCUGAGGUAGGGGCAAACCAUAGAGCUUCAGAGUUUGAGGUCUGAGCACUGAGCAGACAUUGGAGGAUCCAGGAGAGGCUGGACGACCUGACAGGGCAAGACGGCUUAGUGUGUUCCCACAGAACAGCCACAAAGGAGCCUGACCAGGAGAACAUCUGAGACCCCACAAGCAAGCACUGUCCUAGAGGGGCCACCCAGCAGGAACACAGAAAACACUAGGACAAAUCAGCCUCAAGCCCGUGAGGCUGGUGUACGGGGCAGGCUCCAGCUGCAUUUCCUGUGGGAGUAAGUAGCGUCUACAGGGCACAGCGUGGCUUUCUCUGUUUUUACAGAAACUUCUUCCUGGAAAGAUUUGGAGUCUCUGUUGUUCCCACGUGUUUAUGGGAAAGGUAUACAGCCUAACCAGCCACUCCAUCCUACCUCCCCGCCCUCUCAGGAAAAAAAAAAAAAAACAUUGAUAGCAGGGAAUUGCCCGAGAGACCCUGGGCACAUGGUGGACUACAGAGGAGAACUGUAUAUGAACAUCCAUAUAGGUCCUUCUGCUCCAUGCAGGGCCCUAGGGUCUAGACACACAUGCCUGUGUUCCUGAGCCCCAGUCCUGGGCCUGCAAUGCUAACAAAGAGAGAAGAGUACAGUGUCCAGCAGAACAGAGCCUCUGCAUUGAAGGUGACCAGAGAAUGGACUGAACCCAAGGCAGUGAAGCAUCCCACCCCACCAUCUUAGGUUGGGAGAGAGCGUAUAUGGAAGA